UCUGGGACCUUUACGUGUCACGCUCUACAACGUAUCGUGCAAUUUAUAAAGGUUGGUACUUCAUCAUCGGUUGGGUCGUCAUUCUGAACCCGCACGAUAUCCAGGAGCAAAAUGGCAAGAAAGGAGAAAGAUACUAACGCCUGCAUUCCAUUUUAAUAUAAUUAAACAAUUUUUUGAUACUAUGGUCGAGGAAAGCAAUCGUAUGACAAACUCAUUGAAAGAUAUGGAAAAUUCAACUGUUCAGGAUUUACGGUCUUUUAUUAGCUACCAUACUUUGAAUAUAAUAUGUGGUAAAAA
Long non-coding RNA from Ooceraea biroi (clonal raider ant), 297 nucleotides. RefSeq lists it as uncharacterized. NCBI's taxonomy places the organism in Eukaryota, Metazoa, Arthropoda, Insecta, Hymenoptera, Formicidae. The record is from RefSeq and is a predicted model, not a curated record.